UUUGAAAAUUCAUAAUUUUAGAGAGAAGAAAUUCUAGAGAAAUAAAAAGAGAGAAUAAGAGAGGAGGUUCUGCUCUAAUUCCGGUCCCGAUUUAAGAAAAAGAGGAGGAGGUUCUGCCCAAGUUCCUAUUCAUCCAGGUGGAGAGGAUCCAACUGCAAGUGGUAUAUAGAAUGCCAUCCGUUAAUUUGGGAAAUGCUCUGAUAGUGUGACAUCGGGGCAAGAGGAUCUCUAGGAUAGAAUAUUUGGUAUUGUAAUAAAUGUUAUUUUCUUUGAAAAAUGUGUAAACUCUUGAAUUUUAUCUUUCAAGUUUUAUUUUUCAGUCAGAACA
Molecule: non-coding RNA, 328 nt
Organism: Cajanus cajan (pigeon pea)
Lineage: Eukaryota; Viridiplantae; Streptophyta; Magnoliopsida; Fabales; Fabaceae
Source: RefSeq, a predicted model, not a curated record